UUGGUGCCUUCGGGAACUCUGAGACAGGUGCUGCAUGGCUGUCGUCAGCUCGUGUUGUGAAAUGUUGGGUUAAGUCCCGCAACGAGCGCAACCCUUAUCCUUGUUUGCCAGCACUUCGGGUGGGAACUCCAGGGAGACUGCCGGUGAUAAACCGGAGGAAGGUGGGGACGACGUCAAGUCAUCAUGGCCCUUACGAGUAGGGCUACACACGUGCUACAAUGGCGUAUACAGAGGGCUGCCAACUCGCGAGAGUGAGCGAAUCCCAUAAAGUACGUCGUAGUCCGGAUUGGAGUCUGCAACUCGACUCCAUGAAGUCGGAAUCGCUAGUAAUCGUGAAUCAGAAUGUCACGGUGAAUACGUUCCCGGGCCUUGUACACACCGCCCGUCACACCAUGGGAGUGGGCUGCACCAGAAGUAGAUAGCUUAACCUUCGGGAGGGCGUUUACCACGGUGUGGUUCAUGACUGGGGUGAAGUCGUAACAAGGUAGCCCUAGGGGAACCUGGGGCUGGAUCACCUCCUUACCUAAAGA
Molecule: ribosomal RNA, 530 nt
Filed under: Photobacterium leiognathi subsp. mandapamensis
Lineage: Bacteria; Pseudomonadati; Pseudomonadota; Gammaproteobacteria; Vibrionales; Vibrionaceae
Description: bacterial SSU rRNA
Rfam family: Bacterial small subunit ribosomal RNA
Source: RNAcentral